AUUGAACGCUGGCGGCAUGCUUUACACAUGCCGGUCGAACGGUAACAGGCCUUCGGGUGCUGACGAGUGGCUAACGGGUGAGUAAUGCAUCGGAACGUACCCAGAGGUGGGGGAUAACGCAGCGAAAGCUGUGCUAAUACCGCAUGUGAUCUGAGGAUGAAAGCGGGGGACCGAGCAGCAAUGUUUGGCCUCGCGCCUUUGGAGCGGCCGAUGUCGGAUUAGCUAGUUGGUGGGGUAAAGGCCUACCAAGGCGACGAUCCGUAGCUGGUCUGAGAGGACGACCAGCCACACUGGGACUGAGACACGGCCCAGACUCCUACGGGAGGCAGCAGUGGGGAAUUUUGGACAAUGGGCGCAAGCCUGAUCCAGCAAUGCCGCGUGCGGGAAGAAGGCCUUCGGGUUGUAAACCGCUUUUGGCAGGAACGAAACGGUGUCCGCUAAUACCGGGCGCUAAUGACGGUACCUGCAGAAUAAGCACCGGCUAACUACGUG
Molecule: ribosomal RNA, 492 nt
Filed under: uncultured bacterium
Lineage: Bacteria
Description: partial 16S ribosomal RNA
Rfam family: Bacterial small subunit ribosomal RNA
Source: RNAcentral